This 2222-nucleotide long non-coding RNA is filed under the name Monodelphis domestica (gray short-tailed opossum). RNAcentral describes it as "lncRNA (ENSMODG00000047964.1)". The record is from RNAcentral. Lineage: Eukaryota; Metazoa; Chordata; Mammalia; Didelphimorphia; Didelphidae.
CAAAUUUCUCACAUAGACUGAAAUAUACACCUUCCCACAGAUUUCCACAACAGUCUCCCCAUGUUUCUUUUUCCUUUCUUUCUUUGAUUUUAUUUUUUACCAAUUACACAUCAUUAAUUUCCACAUAAAUUUUCUGAAGUGAUAUGAUCCAAAUGAUCUCCCUCUCUCCUUCCUUCCCCUGUCCUGGGGCUGGUAAGCAAUUUGAUCUGCUUCCCCAUUUUUCUAUUGUCAAUCCAGCCUCUAUCACCCUUGUUUGCCUCCGCACUGUGAGAAAGGGACCUAGAGAGUGUCCUCGUGGUAUCAAUUCCCUAAUAGCCCUUCUUCUACCAGCCCUGUGUGAAGGAGGAGGGAACUUGGGCAUUCAUGGAAGAUUAUAGGAAACCUUUCUUUUGGCAGCUCUAGGAGUACUCUGGAAAUCUCGGAAUUAGAAAAGCUUUAAGCCGGAAUGGAAACUUCUCUGGAUAGGCAUCCCGAAUGAGGAGACAAGCAUGCUAUUGCUGCUUUUACCAGGUCUGGACCACACUGACAGAGUCCCGCAACUUCAGGAACAACUUUCUGGAAAGACCUGUCAGGCUGCAUUUUCAACAAAUAAUUUACGGAAUCAAACACUGGAAGGGACCACAGAGGCCUUCUAGUCCAAACCAUAUUGGAUCAAGCAUCCCUCCUACAAUACCAUCCUGCCCGACCAACCAAAAAGAAAAAGAUGGGCGUCUAGCCUGCGCUUGAAGACCUUCAAAGAGGAGAAAACAAGCUCCCUCCUGGGGCAGCCCAUGCCACUUGGGGACAGCCCUUAAUUACUAGGAAGUUUUCCCUUCAUCAAGCCUAAAUCUGCCUUGCUGAGACUUCAACCCAUUGUUUCCAGCUAUACCUUCCAGAACAAAAUAGAACAAACGGGAUUCCUCUUCUAUAAGAGAGUCCAUUGAAAACUUGAAGAUUGUGACCUUGUCCCCUCUGUCUUCUCUUUUUCAAGCCAAACAUUCCCAGGUCCUUCAGUCAAUCCUGAUAGGAUGAGCUUUGCCUUGUUUGGUUUGGUUUUGGUCCUCUUGCCUAGAGCCUUCCUAAAAUGUGGCACCCAACAACAGAAUGCUACUCCACAUUCUCAUCAGAUCAGAACGUGGCGGGAUGCUCACUUCCCUCAUUCUGGAUACCACGCUUUUAAAAAAAAAUUAAUUAAUUAAUUUAGACUAUUUUCCUGUGGUUACAUGAUUCAUAUUCUUGCCCUCCCCUCCUUCCAUCAGCCCCUGUAAGCAAUGAGCAGUUCCCUGGCUUUUACAUGUGUCAUGGAUCGAUACCUCUUUCCAUAUUAUUGAUAUUUGCACCAGGGUGAUCAUUUAGAGUCUGUGGAUACCACACUUUGAAUGCAUCCCGGGACGGUAUUUUGGGGGGGCUCCCAUGUUAUGCUGUUGACUCAUGUUGACUUUGCAAUCCACUAAGAGCGUCAGAUCUUCUCACACAACUUUUUCCUAGCCAUUUCUCUAAGCUUCUCUACUUGUGGAAUUGGUUUUUGGAGGCCAAGAGUAGAACUUUACAUUCAUCCCGAUUACAUUUCAUCUCAUUCAUUGUGAGCCAUCACUGUAGACUGUCAAUAUCUUUUUUGGAUCCGUACUUCUCUUCUUAUAUGUUAGCUCUCCCUUCUAGCUUUGUGUCAUAUUUAAAUCUCAUAAGCACAUCAUUUAUAGCCUCAUCUAAGACUCUGAUUAAAAAACACUGCACAGGCAUAGCUAAGUGGCUCAGCAGACAGAGAGGCAGGCCUGGAGACAGGAGGUCCUGGAUUCAAAUUUGACCUCAGUCACUCCCUAGUUGUGUGACCCUGGGCGAAGCCAUUUAUCCCCAGUUGCCUAACUAUGACAGUCCUUCUGCCUUGGAACCACUACUUAGUAUUGAUUCUAAGACAAAAGAUAAAGGCUUUUAAAAAAUUGCACAAUGACAAUUAUCAAUAAUAUGGAAAUAGGUCUUGAUCAAUGACGCAAGUAAAACCCAGUGGAAUUGUAUGUCGGCUAUGGGGGAUGAUGGAGGAGGGGAAAGGAAAGGACAUGAAUCAUGGAACCAUGGAAAAAUCUUCUUAAUUAAUUAAUUAAUUAAAAAUUUUCAAUUAAAAAAAUUUUUUUAACCCAGUGGAACUGUGUGUCUGUUAUGGGAAUGGGUGGGGAGAAGGGAGGGAGGAAAAGAAUAUGAUUCUUGUAACCAAGGAAUAAUGUUCUAAAUUGACUAAAUAAAAUUUU